RNAcentral lists this ribosomal RNA (460 nucleotides) under uncultured bacterium. Its description in RNAcentral is "partial 16S ribosomal RNA". It matches the Rfam family "Bacterial small subunit ribosomal RNA", at positions 338 to 795 of the family's 1533-position model. The record is from RNAcentral.
CCUACGAGAGGCAGCAGUGAGGAAUAUUGGUCAAUGGGCGCGAGCCUGAACCAGCCAAGUAGCGUGAAGGAUGACUGCCCUACGGGUUGUAAACUUCUUUUAUAAAGGAAUAAAGUGAGGCACGUGUGCCUUUUUGUAUGUACUUUAUGAAUAAGGAUCGGCUAACUCCGUGCCAGCAGCCGGGGUAAUACGGAGGAUCCGAGCGUUAUCCGGAUUUAUUGGGUUUAAAGGGAGCGUAGAUGGGUUGUUAAGUCAGUUGUGAAAGUUUGCGGCUCAACCGUAAAAUUGCAGUUGAUACUGGCAGUCUUGAGUACGGUUGAGGUAGGCGGAAUUCGUGGUGUAGCGGUGAAAUGCUUAGAUAUCACGAAGAACUCCGAUUGCGAAGGCAGCUUACUAAACUGCCACUGACAUUGAAGCUCGAAAGUGUGGGUAUCAAACAGGAUUAGAUACCCGGGUAGUC